This 972-nucleotide ribosomal RNA is filed under the name Eusilpha sp. XZ-2013. RNAcentral describes it as "eukaryotic LSU rRNA". It matches the Rfam family "Eukaryotic large subunit ribosomal RNA", at positions 100 to 823 of the family's 3401-position model. The record is from RNAcentral. Lineage: Eukaryota; Metazoa; Arthropoda; Insecta; Coleoptera; Silphidae.
GGGAAUAGCCCAGCACUGAAUCCCGCGCUCGACCUCCGGCGUCGGGAGAUGUGGUGUUUGGGAGGGCUCAUCAACCGGAGGCCGGCGGACAAGCCCAAGUCCUUCUUGAACGGGGCCACUUACCCACAGAGGGUGCCAGGCCCGUAAGGCUGUCCACGGUCGUCGGCGAGCUCUCUCCUUAGAGUCGGGUUGCUUUAGAGUGCAGCCCUAAGUAGGUGGUAAACUCCAUCUAAGGCUAAAUAUGACCACGAGACCGAUAGCGAACAAGUACCGUGAGGGAAAGUUGAAAAGGACUUUGAAGAGAGAGUUCAAUAGUACGUGAAACCGUUCAGGGGUAAACCUGCGAAACCCGAAAGUUCGAACGGGGAUAUUCAACGCGUCCGGUCUGGCGGACGAGCCGGGUCGGCUCUCGACGGGCGUCCGUUCGCGGGCGCUCGCGGACGUCCCGGCCGUCCUGUCACCGGCGCGUGCACUUCUCCCCUUGUAGGACGUCGCGAUCCGUCGGGCGUCGGUCUACGGUCGGCGGUGGAGCCCGCGCGCGCCUCGGCGCGCGCGAACCCGUGAUUCUCCGGCCGACUCGCUCGACGGUAUCUCUCGAGGCGCGGAGCCGCGACUAGUUCGCGUCCGACUCUCCGCAAGCGCGGCCGGUCUCCCGGCUGUCGGAUCUGAUGCCGGCACCGGGACCGGACGGCUGCUGGCGGGCACGUUCUCGGAUAGACUCCGAUCCACGCCUAUCGGCGACGCUAUAGCUUUGGGUAAUCUCAGGACCCGUCUUGAAACACGGACCAAGGAGUCUAGCAUGUGCGCGAGUCAUUGGGACUUUAAACCUACUGGCGAAAUGAAAGUGAAGGCCGCCUUGCGCGCGCCUAGGGAGGAUGGGUCGCACCGCGGUGCGGCCCCGCACUCCUGGGGCGUCUCGUGCCCAUUGCGGGCUGAGGCGCACCGAGAGCGCAAAUGCUGGGACCCGAAAGA